CAGUAGCCGCGGGAAUACGGAGGGAGCUAGCGUUGUUCGGAAUUACUGGGCGUAAAGCGCACGUAGGCGGCUUUGUAAGUUAGAGGUGAAAGCCUGGAGCUCAACUCCAGAAUUGCCUUUAAGACUGCAUCGCUUGAAUCCGGGAGAGGUGAGUGGAAUUCCGAGUGUAGAGGUGAAAUUCGUAGAUAUUCGGAAGAACACCAGUGGCGAAGGCGGCUCACUGGACCGGCAUUGACGCUGAGGUGCGAAAGCGUGGGGAGCAAACAGGAUUAGAUACCCCAGUAGUCCCUGUCUCUUAUAU
Molecule: ribosomal RNA, 301 nt
Filed under: uncultured bacterium
Lineage: Bacteria
Description: partial 16S ribosomal RNA
Rfam family: Bacterial small subunit ribosomal RNA
Source: RNAcentral